ACAGAAUCAUCAAGAUACUGUUCCUGACAGGCUGGAAAGAGCGGCUAUCGGCUAUCGUAGAACAGAGAGGAGAUUCCUCGUCCUGUCAUUUUUAUUGACAAACGUGCUGUGGCAGGCUGUUUUCCCAGAAGUUGACCGGGAGAAGCUGAAGCCCUGCAGUUUCUUCCCUCCCAAGACGCGUGGUUUCCCUGGUAAUGGAUUGCUUCUUCUCUCUGAGCUUCCACCCUGGUGAGGCCUCCCAGGUCUAGUCUGUGAACUCAACU
This 263-nucleotide long non-coding RNA is filed under the name Rhinolophus ferrumequinum (greater horseshoe bat). RNAcentral's name for it is "lncRNA (ENSRFEG00010017849.1)". Lineage: Eukaryota; Metazoa; Chordata; Mammalia; Chiroptera; Rhinolophidae. The record is from RNAcentral.